GAUGAACGCUGGCGGCGUGCCUAAUACAUGCAAGUCGAGCGAACGGACGAGAAGCUUGCUUCUCUGAUGUUAGCGGCGGACGGGUGAGUAACACGUGGAUAACCUACCUAUAAGACUGGGAUAACUUCGGGAAACCGGAGCUAAUACCGGAUGAUAUUUUGAACCGCAUGGUUCAAAAGUGAAAGACGUUCUUGCUGUCACUUAUAGAUGGAUCCGCGCUGCAUUAGCUAGUUGGUAAGGUAACGGCUUACCAAGGCAAAGAUGCAUAGCCGACCUGAGAGGGUGAGCGGCCACACUGGAACUGAGACACGGUCCAGACUCAUACGGGAGGCAGCAGUAGGGAAUCUUCCGCAAUGGGAGAAAGCCUGACGGAGAAACGCCGCGUGAGUGAUGAAGGGCUUCGGAUCGUAAAACUCUGUUAUUAGGGAAGAACAUAUGUGUAAGUAACUGUGCACAUCUUGACGGUACCUAAUCAGAAAGCCGCGGCUAACUACGUG
Molecule: ribosomal RNA, 497 nt
Filed under: uncultured bacterium
Lineage: Bacteria
Description: partial 16S ribosomal RNA
Rfam family: Bacterial small subunit ribosomal RNA
Source: RNAcentral